This 498-nucleotide ribosomal RNA is filed under the name uncultured bacterium. Its description in RNAcentral is "partial 16S ribosomal RNA". It matches the Rfam family "Bacterial small subunit ribosomal RNA", at positions 899 to 1397 of the family's 1533-position model. The record is from RNAcentral.
ACUCAAAGGAAUAGACGGGGGCCCGCACAAGCGGUGGAGCAUGUGGUUCAAUUCGACGCAACGCGAAGAACCUUACCUGGGCUAGACAACGGCGGACCAUCCUAGAAAUAGGAUUUUCCCUUCGGGGACUGCCGGUUCAGGUGCUGCAUGGCUGUCGUCAGCUCGUGCCGUGAGGUGUUGGGUUAAGUCCCGCAACGAGCGCAACCCUUGCCUUUAGUUGCCACCAUUCAGUUGGGCACUCUAGGGGGACUGCCGGCGUUAAGCCGGAGGAAGGUGGGGACGACGUCAAGUCAUCAUGGCCCUUAUGUCCAGGGCCACACACGUGCUACAAUGGACGGUACAAAGGGUCGCAAACCCGUGAGGGGGAGCCAAUCCCAAAAAGCCGUUCUCAGUUCGGAUUGGAGUCUGCAACUCGACUCCAUGAAGCUGGAAUCGCUAGUAAUCGCGGAUCAGAACGCCGCGGUGAAUACGUUCCCGGGCCUUGUACACACCGCCCGU